Molecule: ribosomal RNA, 747 nt
Filed under: Trichilia cipo
Lineage: Eukaryota; Viridiplantae; Streptophyta; Magnoliopsida; Sapindales; Meliaceae
Description: eukaryotic LSU rRNA
Rfam family: 5.8S ribosomal RNA (bases 400-555)
Source: RNAcentral
UCCGGUGAAGUGUUCGGAUCGCGGCGACUUGGGCGGUUCGCUGCUUGUGACGUCGCGAGAAGUCCACUGAACCUUAUCAUUUAGAGGAAGGAGAAGUCGUAACAAGGUUUCCGUAGGUGAACCUGCGGAAGGAUCAUUGUCGAAACCUGCCCAGCAGAACGACCCGCGAACUUGUGUUUAUGCUCGAGCGGGGACGGCGUGGGGAGCUCUGGCUGCCCUCGUUGGCCCCCUCCUGCUGUGGGGGGUGAGCGGGAUCUCUCGCUCGCUCCUCGCAGCAGAACAACAAACCCCCGGCGCGAGCUGCGCCAAGGAAAAUUUAACGAGAGCGAGCGCUCCCGCCGCCCCGGACACGGAUCGACGUGCGGGAUGCGUCUCCUUCUUUCAAUGAAAAUCAAAAACGACUCUCGGCAACGGAUAUCUCGGCUCUCGCAUCGAUGAAGAACGUAGUGAAAUGCGAUACUUGGUGUGAAUUGCAGAAUCCCGUGAACCAUCGAGUCUUUGAACGCAAGUUGCGCCCCAAGCCUUUAGGCCGAGGGCACGCCUGCCUGGGUGUCACGCAUUGUUGCCCCCCAAACCCCCUCUUGGGGAAUAGGUGGUCGGGCGAAAAAUGGCUUCCCGUGCGCUCCCGCUCGCGGUUGGCCCAAAUUUGAGUCUUUCGGCGACCGUGCCGCGACGAUCGGUGGUGUAACAUGCCUCUCGAGCUCCUGUCGCGCGCUCGUGUUUCCGUGCCAUGGGCUCGCGAACCCU